This 415-nucleotide ribosomal RNA is filed under the name bacterium. RNAcentral's name for it is "partial 16S ribosomal RNA". It matches the Rfam family "Bacterial small subunit ribosomal RNA", at positions 355 to 774 of the family's 1533-position model. The record is from RNAcentral.
UGGGGAAUAUUGCACAAUGGACGGAAGUCUGAUGCAGCGACGCCGCGUGGGGGAUGAAGGCUUUCGGGUUGUAAACUCCUUUUGAUGCUGAACAAGGCUCUUUUUAGGGCUGAGGGUAGGUGUUGAAUAAGCGCCGGCUAACUACGUGCCAGCAGCCGCGGUAAUACGUAGGGCGCGAGCGUUGUCCGGAAUUAUUGGGAGUAAAGGGCUCGUAGGCGGUUUGUCGCGUCUGCUGUGAAAGACCGGGGCUUAACUCCGGGGUUGCAGUGGGUACGGGCAGACUAGAGUGCGGUAGGGGUAGCUGGAAUUCCUGGUGUAGCGGUGGAAUGCGCAGAUAUCAGGAGGAACACCGAUGGCGAAGGCAGGUUACUGGGCCGUUACUGACGCUGAGGAGCGAAAGCAUGGGGAGCGAACA